CGAACGGGUGAGUAAUGCGUGACCAACCUGCCCCAUGCUCCAGAAUAGCUCUUGGAAACGGGUGGUAAUGCUGGAUGCUCCAACUUGACGCAUGUCUUGUUGGGAAAGUGUUUAGUGGCAUGGGAUGGGGUCGCGUCCUAUCAGCUUGUAGGCGGGGUAAUGGCCCACCUAGGCUUCGACGGGUAGCCGGCCUGAGAGGGCGGACGGCCACAUUGGGACUGAGGUACGGCCCAGACUCCUACGGGAGGCAGCAGUU
This 256-nucleotide ribosomal RNA is filed under the name uncultured Gardnerella sp. RNAcentral describes it as "partial 16S ribosomal RNA". It matches the Rfam family "Bacterial small subunit ribosomal RNA", at positions 99 to 355 of the family's 1533-position model. The record is from RNAcentral. Lineage: Bacteria; Bacillati; Actinomycetota; Actinomycetes; Bifidobacteriales; Bifidobacteriaceae.